RNAcentral lists this ribosomal RNA (216 nucleotides) under Glomeromycotina sp. RNAcentral describes it as "partial small subunit ribosomal RNA". The stretch from base 46 to 216 matches the Rfam family "Eukaryotic small subunit ribosomal RNA", at positions 692 to 864 of the family's 1831-position model. The record is from RNAcentral. Lineage: Eukaryota; Fungi; Glomeromycota.
GGGUCAGUAGGUUGGUCGUGCCACCGGUACGUACUGGUCUCACCGAUUCCUCCUUCCUGAAGAACCGUAAUGCCAUUAAUUUGGUGGUGCGGGGAAACAGGACUGUUACUUUGAAAAAAUUAGAGUGUUUAAAGCAAGCUAACGCUUGAAUACAUUAGCAUGGAAUAAUGAAAUAGGACGAUCGAUCCUAUUUUGUUGGUUUCUAGGAUUGACGUA